CAAAGAGAUAGAUAUAUUUCAAUAGGAACAUGCUUCAGGAGAGGCCUCAACCCUGACUGCCACUCCUUACUUGGUACAGGUGAAAUCAAUAAUGGUAAUGAGGAUCUACUGCUUAAAUAGUUGGUGCCAAGCCAGUGCUGGUGGACUACUGCAAGUGAGUCAGGGACAGAGCUCUUUGAUAGGAGGAGGAAUUGGGACUGGAGGAAGAACGCGUCCCACUGCUUAAACUUAAUCAGCACUGAGAAGAUUGUGAAGAUUUUUUUGUCACCAUGACAAGCUGGAGAAGAGGAGCAAGCUGGGCUGCAGCAGGGGAAGGAGAGCUGACGUGACAGGCUCAGCCCAGGCGUCAAACUUCCCGAUGGCUGGAGAGAGAGGAGAUGAGUUUUGCUCUCCCUACUGCCAAGGACGCAGUGGCUGUUUGCUGUAUAUUAGCUAAUGAAGAAAUAUUACACAGCAAAAGAGCGGGACUAAUUUCCAGUGCUUUGGCAACUGGCUAUGCCUCAGAAGCAGUGAAAGAAGAGGUCUGGAAACAGCACGGUCUGCAAGUCAUUGCCCAGAGUGUUUGGCAAACUUGUCAGGCUCUGUUUGGAGUAUAUGGGGAGCAAACUGGAUUACAGCAGCCAGAGGAGGGACAAUGUGCCUGCUGGGAUCUCUCUAUGAGGCUCUCCAGUUCCCUGCAUCACUUGUUUUUGGAGCAAAGCAAAGUCCUGCCCAGGGUCAGCUUUUGUGAGUACAUCUGGCACCACCAGAGAGAGAGAUGGCAGCAGAUGUGA
This 773-nucleotide long non-coding RNA is filed under the name Coturnix japonica (Japanese quail). Its description in RNAcentral is "lncRNA (ENSCJPG00005006363.1)". Lineage: Eukaryota; Metazoa; Chordata; Aves; Galliformes; Phasianidae. The record is from RNAcentral.